GUCGUGAGGCGAUUCCCGCCCCGCCCACCGGCUCCCCCUCAGCCCCUCGACGCUCCCGGGACCCCCCGGAAACCCCCGGCCCCGGCCGUGCCCCGGGGCAGCGGCCACACCGGAGCACGCCCCGAACGCGAUGGCUGCAGAGGGUCCCUGCGCCCCGGGCGCCGUCACCCCCCUGCCAGGUGCGGGGACCAUGAAGGAGCGGGGCGGGGGUGAGGCGCCGGGCCCCUCCAUAACCCAUGUCCCCCCCUCAGCCCCUGCCGAGAGCGGCUGCUCGGACGAGUUUGCCCUGGACUGCACCUUCGCUGCCUGCGACCCCGAGCGAACAGGUAGCCGAACCCCCUGGGGCCGUGGCGGCCACAGCCGAACUCCCCGGGCCGGUCACCGCCGUGUCCCUGAGCGCUCCGCCCGCCCCAGGGAUGGUGCAGCCGCAGCGGGUUGUCGAGUACGUGGCCGCGAUGACGGGGCACAGCGGGCACGACGGGCGGCUGCGGGCGCUGCGGCGGGCGCUGGACCCCGCGGCCGCGGGCACGGCGCUGGACUGGACCCGGUUCCGCGCCGCCAUGGGCGCCUGGAUCGCGGCGUGCCGGCAGGACGGGGCCGAGGAGCAGGACGUGGUGACUGGUGACACCGGACCAGCGCCAGCAGGUGGGUGUUGGUGCAGGAAAAGGGAGUUGGGGUGGCCCCAGUAGGGACACAAACAGCCCGCUGCGUCCCGUCCUGCAGAGGACGAGGCGUCCCCAGCGGCUGCCCAGCUCCAGGGUGACAGCGCAGACAUCACCGCCUCGUAAGUGCCCGCUGCGGGGACACCCCGCCGUCCCUGGCCGUGCUCCAGGAGCACCCCGGGACCGGUGGGACUCCCCGGCAGCGCCGAGGCCGCGGGGCUGCGGAGCCGUGCCCGGCAGCUGGCGGCCCAGAACGCCAAACUGCAGCGGGAUGCUGAGCUGGCCGAGGAGCUCAACGCCCGCCUGGCCGAGGAGAUCGCGCAGCUCCAGGCACAGCUGCGAAGGUGCUCCCGAGGGGCUCCCGAGGGGCACGGGGUCUGGAUCGGUGUCCUGGGGAUGCUGAAACGCCGUUUGCUCCCGGCAGCAGCCGGCAGGCGCUGGAGCAGGCCAGGGUGGCCGUGGAGGAGCUGGAUGACACGAAGGCCGUGGUGAAGCAGCUGGAGGAGGAGAACGCUGAGCUUCGGCGGCAGGCACGGCACGCGGUGAGAGGCUAAGCUGGGGUGCCGCACAGCGUCGGGUGCGGUGUCACACGGUGUCCCCUCACGGCCACCCCAGGACGGUCACCC
RNAcentral lists this long non-coding RNA (1288 nucleotides) under Cyanoderma ruficeps (rufous-capped babbler). RNAcentral describes it as "lncRNA (ENSCRFG00000013061.1)". Lineage: Eukaryota; Metazoa; Chordata; Aves; Passeriformes; Timaliidae. The record is from RNAcentral.